CCAAAUACUUGCUUUUUCUGGCUUGUGACUUUCACUGGCUGCAAGGGUAGAGGAAUCAAGAUGCCAACACUUGUUAACUAAAGUAAGCUAGCUUGAAGAUCUCCCUAACCAUAUUUUCUAGAUUCAAAGCUUAAUUUAGGGUUGUUCAAUAGGUUUUCAUAAAACAUGAAUUCAAACAGAAGUGUUCUUAGACAGUGCAAGUAAUGAGUUUGAGUAAAAGCAUUACUGCUGUGCUCGUACCCCAUUCCCUUGAACCUGACUUCUGACCCAGGAGAUACGGUGAGGACAUCAUAGGUGUGUUCCUUUGUCCUCCGUGUCACCUCAGUGAAUCAGGUCAGAUCACCUGGAUACAAGCAUAUUCUUGCAUAAGAGUGCAUGGUUAUGAGAACAUGAGUGAAAGCAGUUUUGUUUUAAAUAAAUUUGCCCAUGGGAUGUAACACCCAAGAAAAGAGCCCUUUUUGUUUGAGGAAGAGGGAGGUAUAACACUGAAAAGAUACUGCAAAAGGAAAUCAUGAUGCUUUUUUGAGUCUUUUCAUUAGUUUUUUGUUAAGUAGAACCAACACAGAAGGUUUUGAGUACUGCACUCAAAAAGCCAACGUUCUCUCAGUUCUUGUUUAGCUAGAUAAAAAAAAAAAAAGAACCACUUUUUCUUUUGGGCACCGGCUCACAGUAUUUAAGGCACUUUAUGGCUAAGGUUGCUUUAUAAUCUUUAUAACACACAUAGGUGCAAGAUAAAGAGUUAGAAAUGAAUCAUUUAUACAGCUCAUCUGGGACUUCAGCAGAAAAAGUCUGAAAAAUCCAUAGCAGAAACCUGUAGAGACUCUUGCCAAGUUACAGUAGGAGCUGCCAUGGUUGAACAUGCAUGCAAGUUGUCUGAAGAUGGGCGGUCCUAGAAAAAGGAAAGCGUAGCUUAUUGAAUUUAUGAAAAGGACCUUUAUGAAGAGUUGCUGGCAAACACUACAGGAAAGUGUUCAAACAUACCUGAGGCCUGCAAGCUCGCUAACCCAAAAGAGCCGGAGUGCACAUGUCUCAGAGCACAUGAGAUGGAACUGAUUGCUGUAGUCAAGAGCAGAAACUUCCCAUGCCAUCUCACAAACCAUGUGAAUGAAACCGUGUUUGAAAGCAUGACUUGGAUAAGGCUGUAAUACUCGGUUCAGUUCAGUAAGCUGAGCUUUGUAAGUAAAAGCUGGGAAUUACUAGCUUUACUGCCAAGGAAAAGUCCGAACGCUUUUAAUUCUGCUGCCAGAAGGGGCUGUAUUGGCAGGAAACUGGAGAGCUCCUGGCUGACUUUGUUGGAAACCUUGCAACGUUACAGAAACCACCAGCCACCCAGUCUGCUGCAUAUGGGACAUGAACUGUAAUUCACUGCCAUUAUUACCGGUCAAUUAGAGAUGCACCCAUGUGGCUGAGACCUUGAUCUGUGUCUGUGCUGUGUAAGCUGACACAUGCUCUCGCAGGCGCUUGCCAGUUCAGAACUGAGCUCCGUAGAGACCAUCCUCUGCAGGGCUUUCACUGAGGACAAUGAGU
This 1527-nucleotide long non-coding RNA is filed under the name Calidris pygmaea (Spoon-billed sandpiper). Its description in RNAcentral is "lncRNA (ENSCPGG00000003629.1)". Lineage: Eukaryota; Metazoa; Chordata; Aves; Charadriiformes; Scolopacidae. The record is from RNAcentral.